GACGAACGCUGGCGGCGCGCCUAACACAUGCAAGUCGAACGAGCGAGAGAGAGCUUGCUUUCUCGAGCGAGUGGCGAACGGGUGAGUAACGCGUGAGGAACCUGCCUCAAAGAGGGGGACAACAGGUGGAAACGACUGCUAAUACCGCAUAAGCCCACGGCUCGGCAUCGAGCAGAGGGAAAAGGAGCAAUCCGCUUUGAGAUGGCCUCGCGUCCGAUUAGCUAGUUGGUGAGGUAAUGGCCCACCAAGGCGACGAUCGGUAGCCGGACUGAGAGGUUGAACGGCCACAUUGGGACUGAGACACGGCCCAGACUCCUACGGGAGGCAGCAGUGGGGAAUAUUGCACAAUGGGGGAAACCCUGAUGCAGCGACGCCGCGUGGAGGAAGAAGGUCUUCGGAUUGUAAACUCCUGUUGUUGAGGAAGAUAAUGACGGUACUCAACAAGAAAGUGACGGCUAACUACGUGCCAGCAGCCGCGGUAAAACGUAGGUCACAAGCGUUGUCCGGAAUUACUGGGUGUAAAGGGAGCGCAGGCGGGAAGACAAGUUGGAAGUGAAAUCCAUGGGCUCAACCCAUGAACUGCUUUCAAAACUGUUUUUCUUGAGUAGUGCAGAGGUAGGCGGAAUUCCCGGUGUAGCGGUGGAAUGCGUAGAUAUCGGGAGGAACACCAGUGGCGAAGGCGGCCUACUGGGCACCAACUGACGCUGAGGCUCGAAAGUGUGGGUAGCAAACAGGAUUAGAUACCCUGGUAGUCCACACUGUAAACGAUGAUUACUAGGUGUUGGAGGAUUGACCCCUUCAGUGCCGCAGUUAACACAAUAAGUAAUCCACCUGGGGAGUACGACCGCAAGGUUGAAACUCAAAGGAAUUGACGGGGGCCCGCACAAGCAGUGGAGUAUGUGGUUUAAUUCGACGCAACGCGAAGAACCUUACCAAGUCUUGACAUCCCUUGACGAUGCUGGAAACAGUAUUUCUCUUCGGAGCAAGGAGACAGGUGGUGCAUGGUUGUCGUCAGCUCGUGUCGUGAGAUGUUGGGUUAAGUCCCGCAACGAGCGCAACCCUUAUGGUCAGUUACUACGCAAGAGGACUCUGGCCAGACUGCCGUUGACAAAACGGAGGAAGGUGGGGAUGACGUCAAAUCAUCAUGCCCUUUAUGACUUGGGCUACACACGUACUACAAUGGCGUUAAACAAAGAGAAGCAAGACCGCGAGGUGGAGCAAAACUCAGAAACAACGUCCCAGUUCGGACUGCAGGCUGCAACUCGCCUGCACGAAGUCGGAAUUGCUAGUAAUCGCAGAUCAGCAUGCUGCGGUGAAUACGUUCCCGGGCCU
RNAcentral lists this ribosomal RNA (1332 nucleotides) under uncultured bacterium. RNAcentral's name for it is "bacterial SSU rRNA". It matches the Rfam family "Bacterial small subunit ribosomal RNA", at positions 28 to 1381 of the family's 1533-position model. The record is from RNAcentral.